CGCCUCUUGUAAUCAAUAAAUAAGAGGUCCCACCUGCCCACUGACUAUAUGUUUAACGGCCGCGGUAUUUUAACCGUGCGAAGGUAGCGCAAUCACUUGUCCUUUAAAUGGGGACCUGUAUGAAUGGCACAACGAGGGCUUGACUGUCUCCUUUUUUAAGUCAAUGAAAUUGAUUUCCCCGUGCAGAAGCGGGGAUAAAACCAUAAGACGAGAAGACCCUGUGGAGCUUUAGACACUAAAACAGCCCAUGUUAUAAUGACCCCUUUACAAAGGAUUGAACUAAGUGAGGCCUGUCUUGAUGUCUUCGGUUGGGGCGACCCCGAGGAAUAAAGUAACCCCCGGGUGGACAGGGACAAUAAACCCUAAAACCAAGAGCCACCCCUCUAAUUAACAGAACUUCUGACCAAUUAGAUCCGGCAUGACCGAUUAACGGACCAAGUUACCCCAGGGAUAACAGCGCAAUCCCCUUUUAGAGCCCUUAUCGACAAGGGGGCUUACGACCUCGAUGUUGGAUCAGGACAUCCUAAUGGUGUAACCGCUAUUAAGGGUUCGU
Molecule: ribosomal RNA, 553 nt
Filed under: Uranoscopus scaber (stargazer)
Lineage: Eukaryota; Metazoa; Chordata; Actinopteri; Uranoscopiformes; Uranoscopidae
Description: partial 16S ribosomal RNA
Rfam family: Bacterial large subunit ribosomal RNA
Source: RNAcentral